AUUAAACGCUGGCGGCAUGCCUUACACAUGCAAGUCGAACGGCAGCACGGGGGCAACCCUGGUGGCGAGUGGCGGACGGGUGAGUAAAGCAUCGGAACGUAUCCUGGAGUGGGGGAUAACGUAGCGAAAGUUACGCUAAUACCGCAUAUUCUGUGAGUAGGAAAGCAGGGGAUCGCAAGACCUUGCGCUCUGGGAGCGGCCGAUGUCGGAUUAGCUAGUUGGUGGGGUAAAGGCCUACCAAGGCGACGAUCCGUAGCGGGUCUGAGAGGAUGAUCCGCCACACUGGGACUGAGACACGGCCCAGACUCCUACGGGAGGCAGCAGUGGGGAAUUUUGGACAAUGGGCGCAAGCCUGAUCCAGCCAUGCCGCGUGAGUGAAGAAGGCCU
This 387-nucleotide ribosomal RNA is filed under the name uncultured bacterium. RNAcentral describes it as "bacterial SSU rRNA". It matches the Rfam family "Bacterial small subunit ribosomal RNA", at positions 29 to 417 of the family's 1533-position model. The record is from RNAcentral.